Molecule: ribosomal RNA, 466 nt
Filed under: Vreelandella stevensii
Lineage: Bacteria; Pseudomonadati; Pseudomonadota; Gammaproteobacteria; Oceanospirillales; Halomonadaceae
Description: partial 16S ribosomal RNA
Rfam family: Bacterial small subunit ribosomal RNA
Source: RNAcentral
CCUACGGGGGGCUGCAGUGGGGAAUAUUGGACAAUGGGCGAAAGCCUGAUCCAGCCAUGCCGCGUGUGUGAAGAAGGCCUUCGGGUUGUAAAGCACUUUCAGUGGGGAAGAAAGCCUUGGGGCUAAUACCCUCGAGGAAGGACAUCACCCACAGAAGAAGCACCGGCUAACUCCGUGCCAGCAGCCGCGGUAAUACGGAGGGGUGCGAGCGUUAAUCGGAAUUACUGGGCGUAAAGCGCGCGUAGGCGGUCUGAUAAGCCGGUUGUGAAAGCCCCGGGCUCAACCUGGGAACGGCAUCCGGAACUGUCAGGCUAGAGUGCAGGAGAGGAAGGUAGAAUUCCCGGUGUAGCGGUGAAAUGCGUAGAGAUCGGGAGGAAUACCAGUGGCGAAGGCGGCCUUCUGGACUGACACUGACGCUGAGGUGCGAAAGCGUGGGUAGCAAACAGGAUUAGAUACCCCGGUAGUC